This 1251-nucleotide long non-coding RNA is filed under the name Triticum aestivum (bread wheat). Its description in RNAcentral is "long non-coding RNA (TAES_LNC004715)". The record is from RNAcentral. Lineage: Eukaryota; Viridiplantae; Streptophyta; Magnoliopsida; Poales; Poaceae.
UUCCUCGUAGCUUUUUUCCUAACUUUUUUAUUAUAAAUGCAUGAGGGCUGCGGGGGUCGACUCUAGUAGUUUCUGCAUCGCAGAGGACAAGAUGAGUGCACUGCCUCAAUUUUCUUCAUUGUUACUUAUUUUAUAAUUGGCAACUACAUAAUGUACUUUUUUAUAAUUGUAUUUUUACUUAUUUUCUCGCUGCUGCAUUUGAGAACUAAGAGAACUGCUAAGAAUUUCUCGCAAGCUCAAAACAGCUGCACGUACUAACUGCAAGAGAAGAAUCUGCACUAUAGAACCGUCUUGAAGAACAAACCCAACAGAUCAGUGGUAAUAUGAAAACUGCUCUAAAUCAGCAACAAAAAAUUCAAACAAUCAUGCAAGUAAUCGCCCGUGUCCCCUAAUCAUCGUAGAAAACUGUAGCUCCUCGUCACCAGCUACCCAAAUAGGAGGCGGCAAACUGCAAACUCCACGCACUGGACCGCACUAAAAGUGCAUGUACUUGUGCACUAAACUACAAAACAACCACACGCAAUGCUAUAUGUCUGAAUUCUGCACUGACAGAGUGAGUCUCUGAACUUCACCGGGACCUCCCUGCUGAAGGGCGUGAAGCUCCAGAUCCCUGAAGAUAAAAAUAAGUCAUGAUGUCAAGAACAUGCAAAUAAGAAUCUCAACCUCCAUGUGGAUCAAUAAUCUGAAAAAAUAAACUGCACUUGACUUUUGAAACGGCACACACACCGACAGCACUGCAUCUGGAGGCGCACUGCACAGCUAGCAUAUGACGGUCUACAGCUAUCACUCCCGCUGUUGACUGCAUGUGUCGGGCAGCAGAACUGCACGACGAUGGCCACUCGAGAGAGGUGGAGCUACUAGCCGGUGAUGCCCCUGUUCUUGCCUGAUCUGCCCUGCAGUCUGGACGGCAUCGAGGUGGACUAGGAGCUGUGCAAGAGCACUACCUAAAUUGCAUGGCAGCGCCACCGGUGGGAUGCCUGCAGCAAAAAACAGUGAAAACGCACGCACAAAAACAAUGAAAUCGGGGAGCCGCGGGUGAAGUUGUUGAUCCCUGUGGGAAGGUGCUCGUCACAGCUGUCGGGGCUGCCCACCCAAGUGAAGAUGGUGCUCGUCGUUGAGCCACCAGGAGCCUGACGGUGGGGGAACACACACGCGGCUGGUCCACGGAUCCCGUGGCUACUGGCGCCGUGGAGGUCAGAUCCGACGGUCACCGGCCUCGACGGCAACUGAAGAUUCUGGCGACCAGCAGNN